GCAGUGGGAGCACAGGUUUACCUGUGUGACUGCGUACCUUUUGUAUAAUGGGUCAGCGACUUAUAUUCUGUAGCAAGGUUAACCGAAUAGGGGAGCCGGAGGGAAACCGAGUCUUAAUUGGGCGUUAAGUUGCAGGGUAUAGACCCGAAACCCGGUGAUCUAGCCAUGGGCAGGUUGAAGGUUGGGUAACACUAACUGGAGGACCGAACCGACUAAUGUUGAAAAAUUAGCGGAUGACCUGUGGCUGGGGGUGAAAGGCCAAUCAAACCGGGAGAUAGCUGGUUCUCCCCGAAAGCUAUUUAGGUAGCGCCUCGUGAAUUCAUCUCCGGGGGUAGAGCACUGUUUCGGCUAGGGGGCCAUCCCGGCUUACCAACCCGAUGCAAACUGCGAAUACCGGAGAAUGUUAUCACGGGAGACACACGGCGGGUGCUAACGUCCGUCGUGAAGAGGGAAACAACCCAGACCGCCAGCUAAGGUCCCAAAGUCAUGGUUAAGUGGGAAACGAUGUGGGAAGGCCCAGACAGCCAGGAUGUUGGCUUAGAAGCAGCCAUCAUUUAAAGAAAGCGUAAUAGCUCACUGGUCGAGUCGGCCUGCGCGGAAGAUGUAACGGGGCUAAACCAUG
Molecule: ribosomal RNA, 622 nt
Filed under: Salmonella enterica
Lineage: Bacteria; Pseudomonadati; Pseudomonadota; Gammaproteobacteria; Enterobacterales; Enterobacteriaceae
Description: partial 23S ribosomal RNA
Rfam family: Bacterial large subunit ribosomal RNA
Source: RNAcentral